AUGGCCAUACCAUACUCAAAACACCUGUUCUUGUCCAAUCACCAAAGUUAAGCAUCAUCGGGCGCGGUCAGUACUUGGGAGGGUGACCACCUGGGAAAACCGAAAGCCGU
This is a non-coding RNA of Trichonephila clavipes, 110 nucleotides long. The record is from the annotation of a GenBank genome assembly. Lineage: Eukaryota; Metazoa; Arthropoda; Arachnida; Araneae; Nephilidae.